Molecule: transfer RNA, 93 nt
Filed under: Candidatus Moduliflexus flocculans
Lineage: Bacteria; Candidatus Moduliflexota; Candidatus Moduliflexia; Candidatus Moduliflexales; Candidatus Moduliflexaceae
Description: Selenocysteine transfer RNA
Rfam family: Selenocysteine transfer RNA
Source: Rfam by way of RNAcentral
GGCUGGUUGAGGGAGCCGGCGCUCCCCGCGGGCUGCAAACCCGUCUGAGAACGCCUUACCCGCGUUCUGUUCGGUUCGACUCCGAACCCAGCC